UACGGGGGGGGCAAGCGUUGUUCGGAAUUACUGGGCGUAAAGGGCUCGUAGGCGGCCAACUAAGUCAGACGUGAAAUCCCCAGGCUCAACCUGGGAACUGCGUCUGAUACUGGAUGGCUUGAAUCCGGGAGAGGGAUGCAGAAUUCCAGGUGUAGCGGUGAAAUGCGUAGAUAUCUGGAGGAAUACCGGUGGUGAAGACGGGUUGCUGGGCCAACACUGACGCUGAGGCGCGAAAGCCAGGGGAGCAAACGGG
RNAcentral lists this ribosomal RNA (253 nucleotides) under uncultured bacterium. RNAcentral describes it as "partial 16S ribosomal RNA". It matches the Rfam family "Bacterial small subunit ribosomal RNA", at positions 524 to 776 of the family's 1533-position model. The record is from RNAcentral.